This 73-nucleotide transfer RNA is filed under the name Sphaerodactylus townsendi. RNAcentral describes it as "tRNA-Ala". It matches the Rfam family "tRNA". From Rfam's summary of the family: Transfer RNA (tRNA) molecules are approximately 80 nucleotides in length. Their secondary structure includes four short double-helical elements and three loops (D, anti-codon, and T loops). Lineage: Eukaryota; Metazoa; Chordata; Lepidosauria; Squamata; Sphaerodactylidae. The record is from RNAcentral.
GGGGCUGUAGCUCAGUGGUAAGAGCAUCUGCUUGGCAUCUGGAAGGUCCCUGGUUCAGUUCCUGGGAUCUCCA